Molecule: ribosomal RNA, 509 nt
Filed under: uncultured bacterium
Lineage: Bacteria
Description: SSU rRNA
Rfam family: Bacterial small subunit ribosomal RNA
Source: RNAcentral
AGGACGAACGCUGGCGGCGCGCUUAAUACAUGCAAGUCGAGCGAGAACCAGGGCUUCGGCUCUGGGGACAGCGGCGAACGGGUGAGUAACACGUGGGUAAUCAACCCCCGACACCGGGAUAGCCCAGGGAAACUUGGAUUAAUACCGGAUGCUCCGUCUGGCUUUAGGGCCGGCCGGAAAAGGGUAGCUUCGGCCUCCGGUCGGGGACGAGCCCGCGGCGGAUUAGCUUGUUGGUGAGGUAAAGGCUCACCAAGGCGACAAUCCGUAGCUGGUCUGAGAGGACGAUCAGCCACACUGGGACUGAGACACGGCCCAGACUCCUACGGGAGGCAGCAGUAGGGAAUCUUGCGCAAUGGGCGAAAGCCUGACGCAGCGACGCCGCGUGAGGGAAGAAGGCCUUCGGGUUGUAAACCUCUUUCAGGAGGGACGAAGCCACUCGGGUUAAUAGCCUAGAGGGUGACGGUACCUCCAGAAGAAGCCCCGGCUAACUACGUGCCAGCAGCCGCGGU